Molecule: ribosomal RNA, 513 nt
Filed under: uncultured bacterium
Lineage: Bacteria
Description: bacterial SSU rRNA
Rfam family: Bacterial small subunit ribosomal RNA
Source: RNAcentral
GAUGAACGCUGGCGGCGUGCCUAACACAUGCAAGUCGAACGGGUGUGGUAUCAGGGAAAAGGGGUUUACUUCUUUGACCAGAUAACACACUAGUGGCGGACGGGUGAGUAACGCGUGGAUAACCUGCCUUAUACAGGGGGAUAACAGGGAGAAAUUCUUGCUAAUACCCCAUAGGUAUGUCUGACGCAUGUUGGACAUAUUAAAGCUUUGGCGGUAUAAGAUGGGUCCGCGUCUGAUUAGCUAGUUGGUGGGGUAAAGGCCCACCAAGGCGACGAUCAGUAGCCGGCUUGAGAGAGUGGACGGCCACAUUGGGACUGAGACACGGCCCAAACUCCUACGGGAGGCAGCAGUGGGGAAUAUUGCACAAUGGGGGAAACCCUGAUGCAGCGACGCCGCGUGAAGGAGAAGGUCUUCGGAUCGUAAACUUCUAUCAGCAGGGAAGAAGGAAGUGACAGUACCUGAGUAAGAAGCCCCGGCUAACUACGUGCCAGCAGCCGCGGUAAAAGUACUCUA